CGAAUUAUCUUUUGAUUUCUUCACUGAAUAUAAUCUUUCCGCAGUGCCAUCCGUCACAUACCGAUUCAAAAUCCCUAAAUAAAACCCAUAACUUGGAUAGAUUACGGAGCUCUUCUCCUCUUCACUCAAAACUUUCGCAAUUUAGAAGUCUUAUACUCCCUUGUCCUAUAUGCUUGGUCUUUGCAGAAAAUUCAAAAAGUUUCUCCCCCAAGAGCAUAGUAGUCAUAUUUGAUUUUUGCUUAUUCAUUAAGUUUCCUCUAAAUCUCUAGUAUCAUUGCGUCCAAUGACUAGAGUAAAGACUAAUAAGCCCUUUCCAGGUUCCACUCUGCUCAAUAUUUUGCCGCCUAGAAUUUCUCAAAUCAUUGGUGUCAUAUGCCUAAUGUAAGGACUACCAUGCCAUUUCUAUUCUGCCUGAUGCCUAUUAUAAAUGUUAUUAUUUAUUAUUUUUAAGUUAAAGACUUAGUCUUUGUUUAUUCUUACACGAGAAUAAAGGCCUUGCUAAUCUCUAUGUUGUUAGCUAAUUUUAUCGUCUGUACGAUAGUCCUACUUUCUAGGAAUAAUGGCAGAUUUUUAUGUAAUUUGGUUUAUUCUCAUGGUUAUAAAUAGCCAAUUUCUCAAUUCAAUUUAUGCAUCAGAUAUUCAUUCUUGUGUAGUUGGUUUUUUCAUCUUUUUGGGUCAAUUAUAGAAAGAUAAAGGCAAUACCUUUUCUUACCCAUUUAAGAGUAUGUACUGCUAUUUACAUUUUCUAUCAAAAAUAUCGGAGCCAGUUUUAUACUAAAACAAUUGUGCUACAAAAACAGGGAUUCCAGGCAAUAAGUGUCAACAUCUAAAUUGGAAGAUUGA
Molecule: long non-coding RNA, 843 nt
Filed under: Olea europaea subsp. europaea
Lineage: Eukaryota; Viridiplantae; Streptophyta; Magnoliopsida; Lamiales; Oleaceae
Source: RNAcentral